UCUCAAAGAUUAAGCCAUGCAUGUCUCAGUGCAAGCCGCAUUAAGGUGAAACCGCGAAUGGCUCAUUAAAUCAGUUAUGGUUCCUUGGACCUAACAGUUACUUGGAUAACUGUGGUAAUUCUAGAGCUAAUACAUGCAUUUCAGUCCCGACCAGAAAUGGAAGGGACGCUUUUAUUAGAUCAAAACCAAUCGGCCGGUUCGCCCGGCCGUCUGAUUUUGGUGACUCUGGAUAACUUUGGGCUGAUCGCACGGUCUCAGCACCGGCGACAUACCCUUCAAAUGUCUGCCUUAUCAACUGACGAUGGUAGGCUCUGCGCCUACCAUGGUUAUAACGGGUGACGGGGAAUCAGGGUUCGAUUCCGGAGAGGGAGCCUGAGAAACGGCUACCACAUCCAAGGAAGGCAGCAGGCGCGCAAAUUACCCACUCCCGGCACGGGGAGGUA
This 443-nucleotide ribosomal RNA is filed under the name Lerneca ornata. RNAcentral describes it as "SSU rRNA". It matches the Rfam family "Eukaryotic small subunit ribosomal RNA", at positions 35 to 466 of the family's 1831-position model. Lineage: Eukaryota; Metazoa; Arthropoda; Insecta; Orthoptera; Phalangopsidae. The record is from RNAcentral.